This is a non-coding RNA of Camellia sinensis, 357 nucleotides long. NCBI's taxonomy places the organism in Eukaryota, Viridiplantae, Streptophyta, Magnoliopsida, Ericales, Theaceae. The record is from RefSeq and is a predicted model, not a curated record.
UCUACAACUCACUGAGGCCAAGGAGGGAUGAUGCAGAAGACAAAUAUUUCAAAGAUGCAAAACAAUUGCAAGAUUACGUGGAGAAUUUUUUGAAAGCUUGCCUUGAAAGAGACGCUCAAUCACAACCCUUUUUCAAAUUAAUAAACUCACAAAACACAAGUUACGACUUUGAGUAAGUCAACAAUGCUCCACAACAAGAAAGCGAUUCUCUGGAUUGUGGCCUCUUUGUCUGCUAUAUAAUGAAACAAUAUAGCAAGCAUGAACCUAUCAGCUCCAAAUUGUCCACACAAGAGAUAAGGUUGCUGAGGGCAGAACUCAUAGAAAGAUUUGUGACCGAAGUUGGCCGGUCAUAGAUUG